This is a non-coding RNA of Oryzias latipes (Japanese medaka), 921 nucleotides long. NCBI's taxonomy places the organism in Eukaryota, Metazoa, Chordata, Actinopteri, Beloniformes, Adrianichthyidae. The record is from RefSeq and is a predicted model, not a curated record.
AGCUGUUAUUGUGCUUUUACGCUACUGGUCCGGCCCACUUGAGGUCAGACGGGUUGAAUGUGGCCCCCGAACCAAAAUGAGUUUGACACCCCAGCUCUGGUGUAUCAUUUGUGGUGAUAUAUAAUUCCCAUGGGUCUUCCAAAUAUUUUAUAAAUACAGGGUCACUUAGAAGAAAUAGGUUCAAACGCCACUAUCUUGAUAAACGAUCAUAAUAAGAUGGUAAUAACUCUAUAAAGACCGAGGAGUGAUCUGACAAGACACACAGAUUAAUAGAACAUACAAGGGUAUUAUCCAGGAUAGAUCUGGAGACAAACAGAAAGUCAAUUCUAGAAAAAGACUGAUGAGGCCUAGAAAAGAAGUGAAAUCCCUUACAUUUGGAUUACAAAUCCUCCAGGCAUCAAAGAGACCCAGAUCAUUACAUAGCCCAUUUGUUGCUUUUGCCAUUUUAGAGGGUGGCUGGGUCUUAGGUGGGCUGUAGUCAGAGCUGGGCAUCAAACCUGUGUUAAAAUCUCCUCCUAUUAGAACAUGAGAGGGACAAAUAGGUGAAACUUCUGCCAGAAUUUUUGAAUAAAAUGCACUGUCAUAUACAUUUGGAGCAUCUACAUUACCGAGCAAUAUUUGCUCGCCAUACAAGAUUCCAGUUACUGCUACGUAACGCCCCUCUCUAUCUUUAACAAUUUUUUCCACAGUACCUGCCCCACCCAGUCGCGCUGUAGUUUUGAGUGUUAAUGGUCAGUUAGGUGAGUUUCCUGUAAUAGGGCAAUUUGCACCUUUUCUUUUUUAAGCAAAGUGAGAGUUUUACGCCUUUUGAUAACGUGAUUGAUUCCCUUAACAUUAAGGGGUUAAUAUUUUUGUGUUACUCAUUACACACAAUCAUCAGUCCAGCAUGAAGUAAAGCACCAUGAAAAGGAGAAAAGAAAA